UAGCCCACACCUGCUCUGGAACUCAGGAAACUGUGUCCAACAUGGUCAGGACUCUUCUCCUUCUUAUGAUGCUCACUCACUGCCCAGGGUCCUUUUCCCAACCUGUGCUGACUCAGCCACCCUCUGCAUCUGCCUCCCUGGGACAAAUCACCAAAUUCAUCUGUACCCUGAGCAGUGGCUACAGUAACUACUAUGUGGACUGGUACCAGCAAAGCCCAGGGAAGAGCCCCUGGUUUGUGAUGGAAGUGGGCACUAGUGGAAAUGUGGGAUCCAAGGGGAAUGGGAUUCCUGAUCGCUUCUUAGGCUCAGGCUCGGGCCUGGAUUGGUACCUGACCAUCCAGAACAUUCAGGAAGAGGAUGAGAAUGUCUACUACUGUGGGGCAGCCCAUGGCAGUGGGAGCAGCUACGUGCAACACACAGUGACACAGGCAAAGGAGAAGUUAGACAAAAACCUCCAGGCUGAUGGGCCCUGUUAUACUUCUCUUCCUAGUGUCCUGACUCGUAGUUCAUAA
Marmota flaviventris (yellow-bellied marmot) is the source of this 512-nucleotide non-coding RNA. NCBI's taxonomy places the organism in Eukaryota, Metazoa, Chordata, Mammalia, Rodentia, Sciuridae. The record is from the annotation of a RefSeq genome assembly.